This 897-nucleotide long non-coding RNA is filed under the name Salmo salar (Atlantic salmon). Its description in RNAcentral is "lncRNA (ENSSSAG00000114342.1)". Lineage: Eukaryota; Metazoa; Chordata; Actinopteri; Salmoniformes; Salmonidae. The record is from RNAcentral.
CCAGGGCAUCACCAGAAUGCUGUUAUACCUGUAUACAUGAUCUCUCUCUACAGGUAAAACCAGGGCAUCACCAGAAUGCUGUUAUACCUGUAUACAUGAUCUCUCUACAGGUAAAACCAGGGCAUCACCAGAAUGCUGUUAUACCUGUAUACAUGAUCUCUCUCUACAGGUAAAACCAGGGCAUCACCAGAAUGCUAUUAUACCUGUAUACAUGUUCUCUCUCUACAGAUAAAACCAGAGCAUCACCAGAAUGCUGGUAUACCUGUAUACAUGAUCUCUCUACAGGUAAAACCAGGGCAUCACCAGAAUGCUGUUAUACCUGUAUACAUGUUCUCUCUACAGGUAAAACCAGGGCAUCACCAGAAUGCUGUUAUACCUGUAUACAUCUCUUUCUACAGGUAAAACCAGGGCAUCACCAGAAUGCUGUUAUACCUGUAUACAUGUUCUCUCUCUACAGGUAAAACCAGGGCAUCACCAGAACACUAUUAUACCUGUAUACAUGUUCUCUCUCUACAGGUACAACCAGGGCAUCACCAGAACAUUGUUAUACCUGUAUACAUGAUCUCUCUCUACAGGUAAAACCAGGGCAUCACCAGAAUGCUGUUAUACCUGUAUACAUGAUCUAUUUCUACAGGUAAAACCAGGGCAUCACCAGAACACUAUUAUACCUGUAUACAUGUUCUCUCUCUACAGGUAAGUGGGAAUACCCAGACCAACCUUUUUCCCUGACAAGAGGAACUAUAAAGAUGGAAUGUAGGCAUUUUUACAUUUACAUUUACAUUUAAGUCAUUUAGCAGACGCUCUUAUCCAGAGCGACUUACAAAUUGGUGCAUUCACCUUAUGAUAUCCAGUGGAACAACCACUUUACAAUAGUGCUUCUAAAUCUUUUAAGGGGGG